Molecule: long non-coding RNA, 295 nt
Organism: Suricata suricatta (meerkat)
Lineage: Eukaryota; Metazoa; Chordata; Mammalia; Carnivora; Herpestidae
Exons: 2
Source: RefSeq, a predicted model, not a curated record
CAAUGGCUUAUCCCAUGCUGUUGCCAUGCUCAACCCCCACUCUUGACAGAGCCUGAAAAGGAGUGGCUGACAAGAUGUGUCACCGGGCCAAAAGAAGAAAACUCGAUAGGAAGAAUUAGACCUUGAAGAGUGAAUGAUGAUUCAUCUUGCUACAGAUUUUUCACUUGAGGAUUUUCAUUUGCUUUUCAGUAACAUGAUUGUGUUCCUUUCCACCUCUGAGAAUACCCUUCAGAUUGAAGAAUGCUUUGGAAUUCUCUGAACUGAGGUUUAUUAAAAUUGAACUUUUUAGUGAUCA